RNAcentral lists this ribosomal RNA (393 nucleotides) under uncultured bacterium. RNAcentral's name for it is "partial 16S ribosomal RNA". It matches the Rfam family "Bacterial small subunit ribosomal RNA", at positions 523 to 918 of the family's 1533-position model. The record is from RNAcentral.
AUACGGAGGAUCCGAGCGUUAUCCGGAUUUAUUGGGUUUAAAGGGAGCGUAGGUGGAUUGUUAAGUCAGUUGUGAAAGUUUGCGGCUCAACCGUAAAAUUGCAGUUGAAACUGGCAGUCUUGAGUACAGUAGAGGUGGGCGGCAUUCGUGGUGUAGCGGUGAAAUGCUUAGAUAUCACGAAGAACUCCGAUUGCGAAGGCAGCUCACUGGACUGCAACUGACACUGAUGCUCGAAAGUGUGGGUAUCAAACAGGAUUAGAUACCCUGGUAGUCCACACAGUAAACGAUGAAUACUCGCUGUUUGCGAUAUACAGUAAGCGGCCAAGCGAAAGCAUUAAGUAUUCCACCUGGGGAGUACGCCGGCAACGGUGAAACUCAAAGGAAUUGACGGGG